AAGAGCCAAGUUGUAAUCUGCCUCCUGUGCUCAAAACCACAAAUAUCAAGCCUAGGGGAAAGAGUCCCUUAGGGCUGACUGACCCACAUGGAAAAUUCCAGCCGGCUGGAGGCAACUGGAGUUCCACCAUCAACUUCCAUGAGUCCAGAACUUCACCCAUGAUACCAAGUCUUACUCUCCAUUAUGUAAUUGCAACUCCACAGCUCCAUGCACUUAGGACCAAUAACCCCAAGAACCAGUACUGUGACACUAUUUCCUGUCUGCCUUUCCGAUGAGGUGCAUAACUGCAA
Molecule: long non-coding RNA, 290 nt
Filed under: Crocodylus porosus (Australian saltwater crocodile)
Lineage: Eukaryota; Metazoa; Chordata; Crocodylia; Crocodylidae
Description: lncRNA (ENSCPRG00005017331.1)
Source: RNAcentral